AGUGAACGCUGGCGGUAGGCCUAACACAUGCAAGUCGAACGGCAGCACAGUAAGAGCUUGCUCUUACGGGUGGCGAGUGGCGGACGGGUGAGGAAUACAUCGGAAUCUACUUUUUCGUGGGGGAUAACGUAGGGAAACUUACGCUAAUACCGCAUACGACCUACGGGUGAAAGCAGGGGAUCUUCGGACCUUGCGCGAUUGAAUGAGCCGAUGUCGGAUAGCUAGUUGGCGGGGUAAAGGCCCACCAAGGCGACGAUCCGUAGCUGGUCUGAGAGGAUGAUCAGCCGCACUGGAACUGAGACACGGUCCAGACUCCUACGGGAGGCAGCAGUGGGGAAUAUUGGACAAUGGGCGCAAGCCUGAUCCAGCCAUACCGCGUGGGUGAAGAAGGCCUUCGGGUUGUAAAGCCCUUUUGUUGGGAAAGAAAAGCAGCAGGUUAAUACCCCGCCGUUCUGACGGUACCCAAAGAAUAAGCACCGGCUAACUUCGUG
This 491-nucleotide ribosomal RNA is filed under the name uncultured bacterium. RNAcentral's name for it is "partial 16S ribosomal RNA". It matches the Rfam family "Bacterial small subunit ribosomal RNA", at positions 29 to 507 of the family's 1533-position model. The record is from RNAcentral.